RNAcentral lists this ribosomal RNA (238 nucleotides) under uncultured bacterium. RNAcentral's name for it is "partial 16S ribosomal RNA". It matches the Rfam family "Bacterial small subunit ribosomal RNA", at positions 524 to 758 of the family's 1533-position model. The record is from RNAcentral.
UACGUAGGGUGCGAGCGUUGUCCGGAAUUAUUGGGCGUAAAGAGCUCGUAGGCGGUGUGUCACGUCGGCCGUGAAAACCUGCAGCUUAACUGUGGGCGUGCGGUCGAUACGGGCAUCACUGGAGUUCGGCAGGGGAGACUGGAAUUCCUGGUGUAGCGGUGAAAUGCGCAGAUAUCAGGAAGAACACCCGUGGCGAAGGCGGCUCUCUGGUACGUGACUGGACGGCUGAGACGCGAAA